This 450-nucleotide ribosomal RNA is filed under the name Onchidium typhae. RNAcentral's name for it is "partial large subunit ribosomal RNA". It matches the Rfam family "Bacterial large subunit ribosomal RNA", at positions 1862 to 2640 of the family's 2925-position model. The record is from RNAcentral. Lineage: Eukaryota; Metazoa; Mollusca; Gastropoda; Systellommatophora; Onchidiidae.
CCCAGUGAUUUAUUUUUAUUUUAAACGGCCGCAGUACUUUGACUGUGCUAAGGUAGCGUAAUCAGUUGGCUUUUAAAUGGAGUCGAGAAUGAAGGGGUUUUCGGGGACUAGCUGUCUCUGCUAGACUGAUUUUAAUUUACUGAGAGGGUGAAAAUUCCCUCAUGAAGAAAAAAGACGAGAAGACCCUAAGAGUUUUUAACUAAGUUAUAUUACUAUAUAAGAAGUUUUUGCUGGGGCGGCAAGGAAACAAGCUAUAACUUUCCUAUAAAUUUUGUAGUAGACGUAUAUAUAAAGUGACAAGAAACUACCUUAGGGAUAACAGCAUAAUUUAUUUAUAAGUUUGUGACCUCGAUGUUGGACUAGGGACUUUACGGCUAGCAGUCGCAAGAGCGGGUUCUGUUCGAACCAUCCUCCCCUACAUGAUCUGAGUUCAGACCGGAGGAUUUCCUU